Molecule: long non-coding RNA, 426 nt
Organism: Maniola jurtina (meadow brown)
Lineage: Eukaryota; Metazoa; Arthropoda; Insecta; Lepidoptera; Nymphalidae
Exons: 3
Source: RefSeq, a predicted model, not a curated record
CGGGUAAAAAUAGAAAUAAACAAAAAUCGUAAUAUAUUAUAGUACCCUGCGCAAAAGUUAAUAUAACAACCAAUAAAAAGGAUUUCAUGUACUUACAAAACCCAAGUCGCUGGCGAGCUUCGAUCCAUCGAUUUCCAGUAUGACUCGAAGUCUUCAGCGGCAGCUCCUAUGACAGUAGCUCCUGGUAGGUUCUCUAGUCCUGACAAGGAAGUUGAAGGCGUUGACCUGAUUUUUAGGGGAUGCACCACGACGACCUUGAACAUCCAGGACUAUCCUUUAAGACUGCGCCAGUUACAUAAGGACGACUGUCCAGAGCUGGUAGAGAAAGUAGAAGUCCUUUUUGGUUGUGGAAUGGUUUAAUUAGGUACUGAUUUACAUGAAAAUUACAUAUUAUAAUUAGAGAUACGUCCGUUUCGCACCGAUGCU